Chlorocebus sabaeus (green monkey) is the source of this 103-nucleotide small nuclear RNA. NCBI's taxonomy places the organism in Eukaryota, Metazoa, Chordata, Mammalia, Primates, Cercopithecidae. The record is from Ensembl.
GUAUUUAGGACAUUAGUAAUUAGCACAUUGGAAUGAUACAGAGAAGAUUAGCAUGGCCCUGCACAAGGAUGCUGUGCAAAUUUGUGAAGUUUUCCAUAUUUUU